GAGGCACCCUGGAAGCGAGCACUGGCCAGGUUCUUCAGGCAGCCGUCUCGGACUCGCGCCCUUCCUCAGGCGGCGCCUUGGUGGCUUCUUUAUUUCUGCCUCUUGUCUGCGGCGAAUGCAAAGCCUCGCGGGGGAAGUGCUUGGCAGGGUGGAGCGAGAUGCACAGGCAGGACACCCCGCGCAGCGGCUGGGGAGUGCAAAGAGUCAGCCACCCCCCCCCUUUCUUCAUCGCUUCCUCCCUCCACGCUGCCAGGGGGCAGGAAUCGGCCGACGCUGGCAGGAGUUGAAAAGGUCGCUUUUACUGCCUGCCGCUGGGAGCCUGUCAAGUGCACGCUUGGGCCCCAUUUGGACAUAACACCAAACCAGAGGUAAAUGUGACAGAGUUUUGAGUAUGUGAUCGUCUGAAAGCAUGAAGCUGCAGUUUCAACACCCAGCCACAGCUCAGUUUUCACUCCAAAUCUGACUUUGAACCCUCGGUUUGUUGUGAGUUUCACUGUUGAACACGGAGGUUAGGAGCAUCAUUGUGUCAUCUGAAUUCUGCCGCCCACCAUAUCUUCGGUUUUGUGUGCAAGCUCCUCCCACCACCAUAUAGAGGCUGGCUCAGAGCAGCCGAUAAAUGCAUCAAUUCUAGGGCAGCUGCAGUUCUCCCUGGCUGCCUCUAGGAGCUCAUGCCCCACCCUCUGCUGUCCCCUUGCUCCUCUUGCCUCUGCUUGGCAACAGGGAUGCCAUGUCUCUGCAGUUCCUGCAUUUAAAGGUAUGGAACUGAGGAACGCACACUUUAAAUAAAAAGAGAAUAGACACACAUGCAA
Hemicordylus capensis (graceful crag lizard) is the source of this 809-nucleotide long non-coding RNA. RefSeq lists it as uncharacterized. The record is from RefSeq and is a predicted model, not a curated record. Lineage: Eukaryota; Metazoa; Chordata; Lepidosauria; Squamata; Cordylidae. The transcript has 2 exons.